AGCAUGUGGUUUAAUUCGAAGCAACGCGCAGANCCUUACCACCUUUUGACAUGCCUGGACCGCCAGAGAGAUCUGGCUUUCCCUUCGGGGACUAGGACACAGGUGCUGCAUGGCUGUCGUCAGCUCGUGUUGUGAAAUGUUGGGUUAAGUCCCGCAACGAGCGCAACCCUUAUCCUUUGUUGCCAGCGGUUCGGCCGGGAACUCAAAGGAGACUGCCAGUGAUAAACUGGAGGAAGGUGGGGAUGACGUCAAGUCAUCAUGGCCCUUACGAGUAGGGCUACACACGUGCUACAAUGGCAUAUACAAAGAGAAGCGACCUCGCGAGAGCAAGCGGACCUCAUAAAGUAUGUCGUAGUCCGGAUUGGAGUCUGCAACUCGACUCCAUGAAGUCGGAAUCGCUAGUAAUCGUAGAUCAGAAUGCUACGGUGAAUACGUUCCCGGGCCUUGUACACACCGCCCGUCACACCAUGGGAGUGGGUUGCAAAAGAGGUAGGUAGCUUAACCUUCGGGAGGGCGCUUACCACUUUGUGAUUCAUGACUGGGGUGAAGUCGUAACAAGGUAACCGUAGGGGAACCUGCGGCUGGAUCACCUCCUU
This 596-nucleotide ribosomal RNA is filed under the name uncultured Serratia sp. RNAcentral's name for it is "bacterial SSU rRNA". It matches the Rfam family "Bacterial small subunit ribosomal RNA", at positions 936 to 1532 of the family's 1533-position model. The record is from RNAcentral. Lineage: Bacteria; Pseudomonadati; Pseudomonadota; Gammaproteobacteria; Enterobacterales; Yersiniaceae.